This 392-nucleotide ribosomal RNA is filed under the name uncultured bacterium. RNAcentral describes it as "bacterial SSU rRNA". It matches the Rfam family "Bacterial small subunit ribosomal RNA", at positions 118 to 507 of the family's 1533-position model. The record is from RNAcentral.
UCGGAACGUGCCCAGUCGGUGGGGAUAACGUAGCGAAAGUUACGCUAAUACCGCAUACGAUCUAAGGAUGAAAGCGGGGGAUCGCAAGACCUCGCGCGAUUGGAGCGGCCGAUAUCAGAUUAGGUAGUUGGUGAGGUAAAGGCUCACCAAGCCGACGAUCUGUAGCUGGUCUGAGAGGACGACCAGCCACACUGGGACUGAGACACGGCCCAGACUCCUACGGGAGGCAGCAGUGGGGAAUUUUGGACAAUGGGCGCAAGCCUGAUCCAGCAAUGCCGCGUGCAGGAUGAAGGCCUUCGGGUUGUAAACUGCUUUGUACGGAACGAAACGGUGAGCUCUAAUACAGUUUGCUAAUGACGGUACCGUAAGAAUAAGCACCGGCUAACUACGUG